Molecule: ribosomal RNA, 466 nt
Filed under: uncultured bacterium
Lineage: Bacteria
Description: partial 16S ribosomal RNA
Rfam family: Bacterial small subunit ribosomal RNA
Source: RNAcentral
GAUGAACGCUGGCGGCGUGCUUAACACAUGCCAGUCGAACGAUGAAGCCCAGCUUGCUGGGUGGAUUAGUGGCGAACGGGUGAGUAACACGUGAGUAACCUGCCCUUGACUCUGGGAUAAGCCUGGUAAACUGGGUCUAAUACUGGAUAUGACUUCUCAUCGCAUGGUGGGGGGUGGAAAGAUUUAUUGGUCUUGGAUGGACUCGCGGCCUAUCAGCUUGUUGGUGAGGUAAUGGCUCACCAAGGCGACGACGGGUAGCCGGCCUGAGAGGGUGACCGGCCACACUGGGACUGAGACACGGCCCAGACUCCUACGGGAGGCAGCAGUGGGGAAUAUUGCACAAUGGGCGCAAGCCUGAUGCAGCGACGCCGCGUGAGGGAUGACGGCCUUCGGGUUGUAAACCUCUUUCAGUAGGGAAGAAGCGAGAGUGACGGUACCUGCAGAAGAAGCGCCGGCUAACUACGUG